AAGGAUUUAAUGUUGAUACACAUUGUUAAGAGAAUAGAUUAAGCAUAUUAGUUUAGCCUAUUAGAUUGUGACACCUGUCACUCAUUAAGUAUAUUCUAUAUGCUUCUAUAAAUAUCUGUAAUCCUUAGAGUUCAUUCAAUAAUAACAAUCUCAUUUUAUCUUCUCUUUCUCUCUCCUUUAUCUUUCUCUCUCUUUACCUUUCUCUCUCUUCUAACCGUAACAAACUCCAUUGAUGAAUCUGAGUUUCUUUCAUGGUAUCAGAGCGUAACUUGAUCCAUGGCGCCUACACUUGAAGACUCUUCCGAUUCCGACAACAACCGUACCUCCGCCGAAUCUCAGCGCGUUACGGCGGCGGCGGCGAAAACUUUCAAGCAAUUCGUUUCGGUGAAACUCGACGACACGAACUACUUGCAAUGGAAACAGCAAGUGGAAGGAGUUCUUCGCGGUACAAAAAUGGUGAAGAUAGUUGUUUCGCCGCAAAUUCCUCCAGUUUUUCUCUCUGACGCGGAUCGCACAGCAGGGAAAGAGAAUCCGGCUUACACCGAAUGGGAAGAACAAGAUUCUCUCCUUUGCACAUGGAUUUUAUCAACUAUUUCGUCUUCUCUGCUUUCGCGUUUCGUGCUUCUCCGUCACUCGUGGCAGGUUUGGGACGAAAUUCACACUUAUUGCUUCACACAAAUGAAAACUCGUUCGCGUCAAUUGCGUUCUGAGUUACGCACCAUUACCAAAGGAACGCGCACAAUUGCCGAGUGUAUUGUUCAAAUUAGGUCACUUUCUGAAUCCUUGAUGUCAAUAGGAGAUCCUAUGUCUCAGCGUGAUCUCAUAGAGAUUAUCCUUGAAUCACUUCCAGAAGAGUUCAAUCCUAUUGUUGCAAGUGUCAAUAGCAGAUCUGAAGUGAUAUCUCUGGAUGAACUUGAAUCACAGCUUCUCACUCAAGAAGCGCGCAACGAAAAGUUCAAGAAAGCACUAAUUGCUGACUCUGCUUCAGUUAAUCUCACUCAAAAUCUCAGUGCUGCAAGCCAAACUCAGCCUUCUCCUACUCAGCAACACUUCUCUGAUGGGAAUUCUAAUGGUAACCCUUAUGGUAAUACUCAGUAUACUACUCCUUAUGGUAAUGAACAGUAUGGUAACUCUGGAGGUAGAGGUGGCUAUUUCAGAGGCAGAGGACCUCGUGGUGGUCGUCUUAGAGGCCGUGGUGGUGGACCUCGUGCCUACAUUCAGUGUCAGAUAUGUCACAAAACUGGACAUGAUGCUUCUAUUUGUUACCAUCGCCUCUCUGUUCCACCUACUUAUGAAGGAUAUGGUACUCCUGGUUUCUAUGGUGCCUCUAAUGGUAUUCUUGGAACACCUCCCAAUGUGUGGAUGCAAGGAAUGCAGCGUGCUCCUAUGGUCAACAAUCC
RNAcentral lists this long non-coding RNA (1400 nucleotides) under Medicago truncatula (barrel medic). RNAcentral describes it as "long non-coding RNA (MTRU_LNC001112)". Lineage: Eukaryota; Viridiplantae; Streptophyta; Magnoliopsida; Fabales; Fabaceae. The record is from RNAcentral.